UUCUGGCUACGAGGACGAACGCUGGCGGCGUGCCUAACACAUGCAAGUCGAGCGGAGAUGAUGUGAGGAAGUUUUCGGAUGGAAUCACAUUAUUUUAGCGGCGGACGGGUGAGUAACGCGUGAGCGACCAACCUUGCACAGGGGGAUAACGGACCGAAAGGUUCACUAAUACCGCAUGAGACCACAGUGUUGCAUGACACAGGGGUCAAAGGAGCAAUCCGGUGCAAGACGGGCUCGCGUCCGAUUAGGUAGUUGGUGGGGUAACGGCCCACCAAGCCUAUGAUCGGUAGCCGACCUGAGAGGGUGAUCGGCCACAUUGGAACUGAGAUACGGUCCAAACUCCUACGGGAGGCAGCAGUUGGGGAAUAUUGGGGACCAAUGGGGGAAACCCUGACCCAGCAACGCCGCGUGAAGGAAGAAGGUUUUCGGAUUGUAAACUUCUGUCCUUGGUGAAGAGAAGAAGACGGUAGCCAAGGAGGAAGCCCCGGCUAACUACGUGCCAGCCGCCGC
This 510-nucleotide ribosomal RNA is filed under the name uncultured bacterium. Its description in RNAcentral is "bacterial SSU rRNA". It matches the Rfam family "Bacterial small subunit ribosomal RNA", at positions 26 to 518 of the family's 1533-position model. The record is from RNAcentral.